GACGAACGCUGGCGGCGUGCUUAACACAUGCAAGUCGAACGGAAAGGCCCUGCUUUUGUGGGGUGCUCGAGUGGCGAACGGGUGAGUAACACGUGAGUAACCUGCCCUUGACUUUGGGAUAACUUCAGGAAACUGGGGCUAAUACCAGAUAGGAGCUCCUGCUGCAUGGUGGGGGUUGGAAAGUUUCGGCGGUUGGGGAUGGACUCGCGGCUUAUCAGCUUGUUGGUGGGGUAGUGGCUUACCAAGGCUUUGACGGGUAGCCGGCCUGAGAGGGUGACCGGCCACAUUGGGACUGAGAUACGGCCCAGACUCCUACGGGAGGCAGCAGUGGGGAAUAUUGCACAAUGGGCGGAAGCCGGAUGCAGCAACGCCGCGUGCGGGAUGACGGCCUUCGGGUUGUAAACCGCUUUCGCCUGUGACGAAGCGUGAGUGACGGUAAUGGGUAAAGAAGCACCGGCUAACUACGUG
RNAcentral lists this ribosomal RNA (468 nucleotides) under uncultured bacterium. Its description in RNAcentral is "partial 16S ribosomal RNA". It matches the Rfam family "Bacterial small subunit ribosomal RNA", at positions 28 to 507 of the family's 1533-position model. The record is from RNAcentral.